CGGCGACUUGUAGGCAGUGGCAGGUUAAGGUAAUACCGGAGCCAUAGUGUAAGCGAGCCUUAAUAGGGCGUAGUCACUGUUUACAGACCCGAACCCGGAUGAUCUAACCAUGGCCAGUGUGAAACUUGGGUAAUGCUAAGUGGAGGUACGAACCGACUGAUGUUGAAAAAUCAGCGGAUGAGUUGUGGUUAGGGGUGAAAUGCCAAUCGAAUCCGGAGCUAGCUGGUUCUCCCCGAAAUGUGUUUAGGCACAGCGGUUAAUGUUUAAGUUCAGGGGUAAAGCACUGUUUCGGUGCGGGCUGCUAACGCGGUACCAAAUCGUGGCAAACUAAGAAUACUGAAUAUUUAUAGUUAACCAGUCAGACUAUGGGGGAUAAGCUUCAUUGUCAAGAGGGAAACAGCCCAGACUACUAGCUAAGGCCCCUAAAUUGUGACUAAGUGAUAAAGGAGGUGGGAUUUCUAUAACAACCAGGAGGUUUGCUUAGAAGCAGCAAUCCUUUAAAGAGUGCGUAAUAGCUCACUGUUCGAGUGAUCCUGCGCCGAAAAUGUACGGGGCUAAGUCAUAUGCCGAAGCUGUAGGAUAUAAUAAUGUAUCGGUAGGGGAGCGUUCUAUGCUGAUUUGAAGCACUAACGUAAGUGGGUGUGGAUUGGAUAGAAGUGAGAAUGUUGGCUUGAGUAGCGAAAAUAUUGGUGAGAAUCCAAUAUCCCGUAAACCUAAGGGUUCCUCCGGAAGGCUCGUCCACGGGGGGUUAGUCAGGUCCUAAGCCGAGGCGGAAAAGCGUAGGUGAUGGAUAACAGGUUAAUAUUCCUGUACUUUUUGUUGCUGAUAUAGAGGGACGGAGAAGGCUAGGUUCGCCGAAUGUUGGUUAUCGGUCUAAGUGUUCAAGGCUUUGAGAGACGGUGAAAACGUUUUGAGCUAAGGCAUGAUGGGUAGGUGUAGUAAUUACGCUGAAUGAGUCGACGUCAGGCUUCCAAGAAAAGCUUUUAAUAUCUUAAGCAACAAAAACCUGUACCCGAAACCGACACAGGUAGGUAGGUAGAGUAUACCAAGGGACGCGAGAUAACUCUCUCUAAGGAACUCGGCAAAAUGACCUCGUAACUUCGGAAGAAGAGGUACCCUGCAAAGGGUUGCAAAAGCCAGGCCCAGGCGACUGUUUACCAAAAACACAGGUCUCCGCUAAGUCGUAAGACGACGUAUGGGGGCUGACGCCUGCCCAGUGCCGGAAGGUUUAAGGAGUUGGUUAUUCUUUGAAGAAGCUGAUGACUAAAGCCCCGGUGAACGGCGGCCGUAACUAUAACGGUCCUAAGGUAGCGAAAUUCCUUGUCGGGUAAGUUCCGACCUGCACGAAUGGCGUAACGACUUCCCCACUGUCUCGACCAG
This 1380-nucleotide ribosomal RNA is filed under the name Diacronema lutheri. RNAcentral's name for it is "partial Bacterial large subunit ribosomal RNA". It matches the Rfam family "Bacterial large subunit ribosomal RNA", at positions 621 to 2028 of the family's 2925-position model. Lineage: Eukaryota; Haptophyta; Pavlovophyceae; Pavlovales; Pavlovaceae. The record is from RNAcentral.